AGACAUUUUGGGAGCUCACUGACUUCAAAUUCCAUAGGAACUUCGAAGUUAAGCGAGAUCGCGUGAGACCAAUCCCAGGAUGGGUGGCCCACUAGGAAGUUCUCGUGUGAAUUCCUAGAAACAAAACCGUGAGGGCGUGGUCGGGGCCCAAAGCGGACAAUAUCGUGCUAUGGCGGAGUUGCGAUUGGGAUGUGACAGAAUGGUAUCAGAGCCACUCUGUUGUGUGGUGCGAGUGACAGAAUGAUAUCAGAGCCACUCUGCUGUGUGGUGCGAGUGUGUCGAUGAGGACGUCGGGUCCCUAAGAGGGGUGGAUUGUAACAUCCCGCAUCGACCAACGGAGAAUGGGUGAUGUGCCUUAUAUGUACAUGCCCACCUCCAUAUAGUACGAGGCUUUUUGGGAGCUCACUGACUUCGGAUUCCAUAGGAACUCCGAAGUUAAGCGAGAUCGAGCGAGAGCAAUCCCAUGAUGGGUGACUCACUGGGAAGUUCUCAUGUGAGUUCUC
This 503-nucleotide small RNA is filed under the name Malus domestica (apple). Lineage: Eukaryota; Viridiplantae; Streptophyta; Magnoliopsida; Rosales; Rosaceae. The record is from RNAcentral.